GGCCUAUCAGCUAGUUGGGGGGGUAACGGCCCACCAAGGCGACGACGGGUAGCUGGUCUGAGAGGAUGGCCAGCCACAUUGGGACUGAGAGACGGCCCAGACUCCUACGGGAGGCAGCAGUGGGGAAUCUUGCGCAAUGGCCUAACGGCUGACGCAGCGACGCCGCGUGAGGGAUGACGGCCUUCGGGUUGUAAACCUCUGUUGCCCGGGACGAACAGCCCGUUUCGACGGGUCUGACGGUACCGGGUGAGGAAGCACCGGCUAACUCCGUGCCAGCAGCCGCGGUAAUACGGAGGGUGCGAGCGUUGUCCGGAAUCACUGGGCGUAAAGGGCGCGUAGGCGGUCGGGUAAGCGUGUGGUGAAAGUCCGGGGCUCAACCCCGGAUCGGCCGUGCGAACUGUCCGACUUGAGCACUGUAGAGGCAGGUGGAAUUCCGGGUGUAGCGGUGGAAUGCGUAGAGAUCCGGAAGAACACCGGUGGCGAAGGCGGCCUGCUGG
Molecule: ribosomal RNA, 497 nt
Filed under: uncultured Gemmatimonadota bacterium
Lineage: Bacteria; Pseudomonadati; Gemmatimonadota
Description: bacterial SSU rRNA
Rfam family: Bacterial small subunit ribosomal RNA
Source: RNAcentral